This 500-nucleotide long non-coding RNA is filed under the name Polistes fuscatus (common paper wasp). RNAcentral's name for it is "uncharacterized LOC122515194". The record is from RNAcentral. Lineage: Eukaryota; Metazoa; Arthropoda; Insecta; Hymenoptera; Vespidae.
AAAGAAGCCCAUAAUUUGUGAACACUUUUUAAAACAAAAAUGAGUAUUUAAAAGAAACCUCUAAAAAUAUAAUACACUAGAUGAGAAAUAAUUACGACUAAAAGAACAAAAAGAUACUUCUAUGCAAAGUACUACAUGCUAUAAAAACUGAAGAGAUAAAGUUAGAUACUAAAAAGAAACGGAAGGAAAAAAAAACAAAAGGGUUAUAGUCUCGACGGAAAAGUUUCGCAGACAACAAAACGUUUUACGAUUGAUCGUUCGAGUUACUUGAAAAUAGUAAAAUAUAAAGAUUACAUAUCUUCCUUUAUAUAGAUAGAUAUGAUUCUUGGCUUAAAAAAUCCUAGAUUAAAAAAAACAGAAAAAAAGGUAUGAGAGAGAAUGGAGGAAAACUAUUAAAGAACAAUGAUUUUCCACGACAAAGUAUAAUAAAGUAAAUUUCAAAUUUAAGUUUUCCUAUUCGCUUAAAGGGAGCGUAAAGUUACACCUAAUAAUUAAACAAA